Molecule: transfer RNA, 69 nt
Filed under: Marmota marmota marmota (Alpine marmot)
Lineage: Eukaryota; Metazoa; Chordata; Mammalia; Rodentia; Sciuridae
Also listed under: 1 other name
Rfam family: tRNA
About the family: Transfer RNA (tRNA) molecules are approximately 80 nucleotides in length. Their secondary structure includes four short double-helical elements and three loops (D, anti-codon, and T loops).
Source: Rfam by way of RNAcentral
GGGGUUGUAGCUCAGUGGUAGAGUGCUUGCCUUGCCCGCAUGAAGCACUGGGUUUGAUCCUCAACACCA